RNAcentral lists this unclassified non-coding RNA (254 nucleotides) under uncultured fungus. Its description in RNAcentral is "partial contains 5.8S ribosomal RNA, internal transcribed spacer 2, and large subunit ribosomal RNA". Lineage: Eukaryota; Fungi. The record is from RNAcentral.
AACGCACAUUGCGCCCGCCAGCACUCUGGCGGGCAUGCCUGUCCGAGCGUCAUUUCUACCCUCGGGCCCCCCAGGGGGCCCGGUGCUGGGGGCACGGCCCAGGCCGCCCCCGAAAUGCAGUGGCGACCCCGCCGCGUCCUCCCCUGCGCAGUAGCACAAUCUCGCACCGGAAGCGCGGAGGCGGUCACGCCCGUAAAACGCCCCAACUCAACGCAGUUGACCUCGGAUCAGGUAGGAGUACCCGCUGAACUUAA